RNAcentral lists this ribosomal RNA (305 nucleotides) under uncultured bacterium. Its description in RNAcentral is "bacterial SSU rRNA". It matches the Rfam family "Bacterial small subunit ribosomal RNA", at positions 499 to 799 of the family's 1533-position model. The record is from RNAcentral.
UCCUACGGGGGGCAGCAGCCGCGGUAAUACGUAGGGGGCAAGCGUUAUCCGGAAUUACUGGGUGUAAAGGGAGCGUAGACGGUUAAGUAAGUCUGGAGUGAAAGGCCGGGGCCCAACCCCGGGACUGCUCUGGAAACUAUUGAACUUGAGUGCAGGAGAGGUAAGCGGAAUUCCUAGUGUAGCGGUGAAAUGCGUAGAUAUUAGGAGGAACACCAGUGGCGAAGGCGGCUUACUGGACUGUAACUGACGUUGGGGCUCGAAAGCGUGGGGAGCAAACAGGAUUAGAUACCCUAGUAGUCCCCAUG